GACGAACGCUGGCGGCGUGCUUAACACAUGCAAGUCGAACGGAAAGGCCCUGCUUUUGUGGGGUGCUCGAGUGGCGAACGGGUGAGUAACACGUGGGUAACCUGCCCUUGACUUUGGGAUAACUUCAGGAAACUGGGGCUAAUACCGGAUAGGAGCUCCUGCUGCAUGGUGGGGGUUGGAAAGUUUCGGCGGUUGGGGAUGGACUCGCGGCUUAUCAGCUUGUUGGUGGGGUAGUGGCUUACCAAGGCUUUGACGGGUAGCCGGCCUGAGAGGGUGACCGGCCACAUUGGGGCUGAGAUACGGCCCAGACUCCUACGGGAGGCAGCAGUGGGGAAUAUUGAACAAUGGGCGGAAGCCUGAUGCAGCAACGCCGCGUGCGGGAUGACGGCCUUCGGGUUGUAAACCGCUUUCGCCUGUGACGAAGCGUGAGUGACGGUAAUGGGUAAAGAAGCACCGGCUAACUACGUG
RNAcentral lists this ribosomal RNA (468 nucleotides) under uncultured bacterium. Its description in RNAcentral is "partial 16S ribosomal RNA". It matches the Rfam family "Bacterial small subunit ribosomal RNA", at positions 28 to 507 of the family's 1533-position model. The record is from RNAcentral.